This 457-nucleotide ribosomal RNA is filed under the name Stenotrophomonas maltophilia. RNAcentral's name for it is "bacterial SSU rRNA". It matches the Rfam family "Bacterial small subunit ribosomal RNA", at positions 8 to 459 of the family's 1533-position model. The record is from RNAcentral. Lineage: Bacteria; Pseudomonadati; Pseudomonadota; Gammaproteobacteria; Lysobacterales; Lysobacteraceae.
AGAGUUUGAUCCUGGCUCAGAGUGAACGCUGGCGGUAGGCCUAACACAUGCAAGUCGAACGGCAGCACAGUAAGAGCUUGCUCUUAUGGGUGGCGAGUGGCGGACGGGUGAGGAAUACAUCGGAAUCUACUUUUUCGUGGGGGAUAACGUAGGGAAACUUACGCUAAUACCGCAUACGACCUACGGGUGAAAGCAGGGGAUCUUCGGACCUUGCGCGAUUGAAUGAGCCGAUGUCGGAUUAGCUAGUUGGCGGGGUAAAGGCCCACCAAGGCGACGAUCCGUAGCUGGUCUGAGAGGAUGAUCAGCCACACUGGAACUGAGACACGGUCCAGACUCCUACGGGAGGCAGCAGUGGGGAAUAUUGGACAAUGGGCGCAAGCCUGAUCCAGCCAUACCGCGUGGGUGAAGAAGGCCUUCGGGUUGUAAAGCCCUUUUGUUGGGAAAGAAAUCCAGCUGG